GUGCCAGCCGCCGCGGUAAUACGUAGGUGGCAAGCGUUGUCCGGAUUUACUGGGCGUAAAGGAUGUGUAGGCGGAUAUUUAAGUGAGAUGUGAAAUCCCCGGGCUUAACUUGGGGGCUGCAUUUCAAACUGGAUGUCUAGGGUGCAGGAGAGGAAAGCAGAAUUCUUAGUGUAGUGGUCAAAUGCGUAGAGAUUAAGAAGAAUACCAGUGGCUAAGGCGGCUUUCUGG
This 228-nucleotide ribosomal RNA is filed under the name uncultured bacterium. Its description in RNAcentral is "partial 16S rRNA". It matches the Rfam family "Bacterial small subunit ribosomal RNA", at positions 505 to 732 of the family's 1533-position model. The record is from RNAcentral.